GGAGUUAUGGCUCAGUGGUAGAGUGCUUGCCUAGCAUGCGUGAGGCACUGGAUUCAAUCCUUAGCACCA
Molecule: transfer RNA, 69 nt
Filed under: Ictidomys tridecemlineatus (thirteen-lined ground squirrel)
Lineage: Eukaryota; Metazoa; Chordata; Mammalia; Rodentia; Sciuridae
Description: Spermophilus tridecemlineatus (thirteen-lined ground squirrel) tRNA
Rfam family: tRNA
About the family: Transfer RNA (tRNA) molecules are approximately 80 nucleotides in length.
Source: Rfam by way of RNAcentral